AUGAAGUUCCACCCAUAUCCCAGGAUACGAAUUUUUUCCUCCCACAUGACACUGACUCUUCAUUAAAAAUAUUUUAAUGUCUUCUAGAUGCCAGACAUAUACCAAUCCUAAAAAAUAACCACAGCCAAAUAGCAAGAGGAAGAUUAUGGCAUAAGGCGAUGGUUCUUUUCAAAGACUGUGUUGCUGUACCACCUUGAGGCUCCAAGUAACACUGCAGCUUUAAGAAAGCAGAGUUGGUCAUCAAUGCCGCUGGACUUCUGUGGUCUCUGCCCAAAGCCUCCUUCUCACUGUGAUAAAAUUCUAUGUACCCCUGGAUUGGUGGCAAGCACCGCCCUGUAGUGAACCCCACGGGAGAGACUGCAGGGCUGUUUUCGGGACAGUAGCGAACUCAAUGGCUGCCACUCAGCCCUGUGACGCUAAGACCAGCCCAGCCUGGCUGAGAGGUGCAUAGGCACCACUGUCUAGGGCAAACUGCCAAGAUGGCCAUCUUAGCCUACCCCGAGCUCCAGCACCUCAGAUCCUGUCCCUUCACGCUCAAUCACAAGGCAGCUUCUGAGGCCAUCAGACGUCCCUACUCAUGGCUGAGGACCACAGUGGCCAUUCAGCAGCUUUGCCUUCCUCUGCAUACCCUGGCCAAUGGUGUCCUUCCCUGUGCCGGUAUUUGCUCCUGCUAGAAACUCUGGCUUAAAGCCCCCUCCUCCAUCUCUUCCCUCAUCCCACCCCUGCACUCUCCUCCUCCAAUCCAGUCCCUUGGCAGGACAGCAGGCACUUCCUAGUUACAGACUCGGGGUUGGGAUUUGGAUAGCCAAGCCUCUGUGUCAGGAGACGGGGCGGGGGUCCAGACGUGGGAAUAGGGACUGGUGUAGUGGGGUGCAAGACCGAGGCAGAGAUAAGACAGGCAACUGCAGCAGCUUCUCUCUGCCUUCCUCGGUGGAGAGCAGUCUUCCCCUCACCCUAACCCACCCCAAUUUUAAGAGGCGAAAAAGAAAACCCAAGUAAUGUGUGCUUUUCAGGAGGCAUUUCGGGACACAGAAAAGUUU
Molecule: long non-coding RNA, 1040 nt
Filed under: Homo sapiens (human)
Lineage: Eukaryota; Metazoa; Chordata; Mammalia; Primates; Hominidae
Description: HSALNT0200624
Source: RNAcentral